UUUUGACAAGGAAUUUGAAGGUGUGGAGGAAUGCCCCAUAUGUUACAGUGUCAUUCACACUUCAAAUCAUAGCCUCCCACGGCUAGCUUGCAAAACCUGCAAACACAAGUUCCAUUCAGCAUGCCUCUACAAGUGGUUCUCUACUUCUCACAAGUCAACUUGUCCAUUGUGUCAAUCUCCUUUUUGAUGUACCGUUCAAAGUGGUGAUGCCUUAGUGCCGUAAAACGUAAUUUACCCUUGGAUUCAUUGUCCAUCCAAGUUAUAUGCCGA
RNAcentral lists this unclassified non-coding RNA (270 nucleotides) under Hevea brasiliensis (rubber tree). Lineage: Eukaryota; Viridiplantae; Streptophyta; Magnoliopsida; Malpighiales; Euphorbiaceae. The record is from RNAcentral.